GCGGGUGUAGUUUAGUGGUAAAACUACAGCCUUCCAAGCUGUUUUCGCGAGUUCGAUUCUCGUCACCCGCU
RNAcentral lists this transfer RNA (71 nucleotides) under Streptococcus pneumoniae. Its description in RNAcentral is "tRNA-Gly". It matches the Rfam family "tRNA". Rfam says of the family: Transfer RNA (tRNA) molecules are approximately 80 nucleotides in length. Their secondary structure includes four short double-helical elements and three loops (D, anti-codon, and T loops). Lineage: Bacteria; Bacillati; Bacillota; Bacilli; Lactobacillales; Streptococcaceae. The record is from RNAcentral.